CCCCUCUCAGGGUCGCAUCUGGAGAGUUUCCAGUACUCUACCAGUCUUGACUGAGAGAGGGAGAGUCAGGCAAAGGCAUAGCCAUUUCAUUCCUAGCUUGGGCAGUGGCUAGCGAGUGGAAGGUAAUCUGCUAUAAGU
Molecule: small nucleolar RNA, 138 nt
Filed under: Ornithorhynchus anatinus (platypus)
Lineage: Eukaryota; Metazoa; Chordata; Mammalia; Monotremata; Ornithorhynchidae
Source: RNAcentral